This 222-nucleotide unclassified non-coding RNA is filed under the name Hevea brasiliensis (rubber tree). Lineage: Eukaryota; Viridiplantae; Streptophyta; Magnoliopsida; Malpighiales; Euphorbiaceae. The record is from RNAcentral.
GUUCAUUGGCUCUUCUUGGCACCAAACUACCUCUGCAUUUGGAUAUCGCUUCAAUUCACGCUGGAUAAGGUCAUAAGGGAAAGGACAAAGCUGUUCCACCCGACAGAUAGCAAUGUCUUUCCCAUCAGCUUUAGCUCUUUCUUCGUCAAGCUCAUAAUAGAUCUUUCCUGAGCAAAGGACCAGCCGUCUGAUACCCUCUGCAUCUUUUCUUGCCUCUGAUUG